CCCAUUCUCCUGUUACAAACACACCAUGUCAAAUAUUUUUCGAGUCAAUAUGUUUUAAUAAGUGCUCUUUAUUUAUUGGGGCUACAAUACUACAGUUGAAAUUGUUUGCAGACUUCAUUGAUUUUGACUGGAGGUCCCUGGAAGGCAUGGUGGUUCCUGCCUCAGCAGAAACUUGUGUGGCAAUAGGAGUGGAGGCCAGAGAGUCCUUAGGUCAGUCCCAAAUUCCCUGGGAAAAAAAGGGUUAACUGUCCCUGCAUUGAAUUAACUGUGGGGAUAAAACAUUUGUGAAUACCAUGUACACACAUAAAAUUGCCCCUAAACAAAUUAUUCUGGAGAUACGUUAUUCUAGCAAAUGGUCAUUCGCACAACGCACACAGCACAGCUGUCCUUUCUGGGUUCGUAUGAUUCAGAAGGUCCCAGCUGAAUCGUGACAGCAGGUGCAUAAGUGGCCUCGAGCUUUUUCCUCAUUAUUUCCAGCAAACCCCGUCUCUGUCUACUUACCUCCUUCCUUAACAGCCUUUUCCUAACCAAUUCUUUCUGCUCCCCUAGAAAUAUUACAUUCUGCAAAUGCGAAAGGAAAAGAAAUGGGUAUCUGCUCAGUGCCGAUUUCAGAGAGUAUCUACAAAGCUUUUCUCUUUUGCACAGAUACUGCACUGAAGACUCGGAGGGGUUGAGCCGCUGGAGCCACGCAAAUUCAGACACCUCUUCCGCCCCAGGUCACUCUACUCGCCCACGCUGCCUGCCACACCCAUCCGGUUGUGCGGGACACUCCCCGCGUUUCUUCAGCGAUUCUUAUCGGGCUCCCUCCUUGUUCAAUAAAGGUGAAGGGUGUGGGGUUUUCUGUGCAUACGCUCAGGAAGUUGAGUCCCGGUGAAACGUGUCAGGUUGCCAUUUCCCAGGCUGGAAAGAUUUUCCCAGGACGGGUAUGAAUAGACGAUGAAAGUGCACACUCUUACCCGGCUGCCCGACCCAGGUGCCAGGCUUCUGACUCAGGACCAUCUGUGGGUGCGAGUGCAGGGAGGUGUCAUUUCUGAGCAGGGAAGGUGUGAUCUGGGGCCAGAAUGAAUGGCCCUGGUGACUUCUUACCUGAUUCAUCCCACACCAGUCAGAAGGGGCUGUGAAGGCAGCAGCGAAGGAGCCACACAUGGACGUGGAAUGGGCACGCUGACCAUCAUGGUCACGACUGCAAGAAAGCAGGGCUGCGUGGGUUAAUUGGCUGUGUCUGAGGGUCACCCCUGCACAAGGAGGAUGAUGACGACUGCCCUGUGCAACCCUGGGUCAUCUCAGGGGAGAGCCAUUCCCAGGUUCACAGCAAGCACUCUUUUACUCAGAUGGGCCACCUGCAUCAGGCCCCAAGGAAGCACUUAUUAGUAGAAGAAAAAAAACAAAAACCCAGAAAACAGCCAGUGAGACUAUUUUACAAACAAGCGAAGAGCAGCAACUGAAAGCAACAAUAACUACAACAUAAAUCCCUCUGCAAAUAUUUGGGAUUUCAUUUCCACUAAGGAUAAUGAUGGCGUAGAAGGCAUGUCUGUGGGAGUUAUGCACACAGGGAAAAAGGUGGUGAAAAUAAUCAACCAAAAAUAACAAAAUUCAAUUAAUCAAAACAGAACAAAAUAAAAUGAGCCAAACAGCAUAUCUGAAUAUAAGCAUAAUAAUUGUCGUUGGACAAACCUUUGUCAAAUCAAAUUGGCUUCUAGCACACGGGCUGAUACUUUGUGAUUCAAGUGGUGUUCUACCCACAUAAUUCAUUUAGUUGCAAAGAAUGUAACAAAUAAUGCAAUUAUUCCAGAGGAUCACGGUGAGACAUCUAUUUGGUGGUGCCUUAAGCAGAGUGCCCUGAUUCAGAAGAAUUAGACCAAUCUCUGGAUUCACAGCCACUCAUGAAAACUGUAGGCCGGGCACGGUGGCUCAUGCCUGUAAUCCCAGCACUUUGGGAGGCCAAG
RNAcentral lists this long non-coding RNA (1946 nucleotides) under Homo sapiens (human). Its description in RNAcentral is "HSALNT0355804". Lineage: Eukaryota; Metazoa; Chordata; Mammalia; Primates; Hominidae. The record is from RNAcentral.